GGACUAUUUUGCAACCAGCUAUUUCAUGCGAACAAGCCGUUUCGCAUUGUUAGCUGUUCCAUUUGACGACGCGGACGUAAGCCAUUUGAAAAUUCAUUGAACUGCGACACAAUUCAAUUUAUUUCAAUUUAUUAUAAGAUACCAAUUUUGCAGUUAAGAACUGAAUUACACUGGUUUACAUGCAUACGAGUAAAAUGUCUACAAACACUCCUUAUUUACAAGUUGUUAAUUGUAAUAGUUCUAGGUAAGAAUAUAGCUAAAAAAUUAUUAUUUAAAACUGGAGUUGUAGGCCUUACUACCGGCCAUAAUAAAACUGUUAGCAAACCUACUUGUCCUAUGCUUUGGUAUUGAAAGACAAUUAUCAUUACGUAGAGAAUAUCCUGUUUUAUGUCUUGGGGGAACGAGAGAAUGGAGUUUAUGGGAUGAUUCAUCACACAUUUGAGCAAAAAGUUUCUCGCAAAUGGUCUUUCUCCGCAGGAACAGUAACACCACCCCAGCACGUACCAACGCAUCUUCAUAUUUGAGAUCAGGAAAGAUUAUACGAAGGGCUCUCCGUUGAAUACUCUCGAUCUCGUCGCUCAAAUAUUGCGCCAAGCUAUAGUGCCAU
Non-coding RNA from Paramuricea clavata, 607 nucleotides. The record is from the annotation of a GenBank genome assembly. Lineage: Eukaryota; Metazoa; Cnidaria; Anthozoa; Malacalcyonacea; Plexauridae.